This 251-nucleotide unclassified non-coding RNA is filed under the name plant metagenome. RNAcentral describes it as "partial contains small subunit ribosomal RNA, internal transcribed spacer 1, and 5.8S ribosomal RNA". The stretch from base 203 to 251 matches the Rfam family "5.8S ribosomal RNA", at positions 1 to 49 of the family's 154-position model. The record is from RNAcentral.
UCUCCGUUGGUGAACCAGCAGAGGGAUCAUUACAGAGUUGCAAAACUCCCAAACCAUUGUGAACGUUACCUAUCCCGUUGCUUCGGCGGGCGGCCCGGGCCCCGCGCCCGGCGCCCCCCGGCCCCCCGUGGGCGCCCGCCGGAGGUAAACCAAGCCCUUGAAUUGCAUGGCCUCUCUGAGUCUUCUGUACUGAAUAAGUCAAAACUUUCAACAACGGAUCUCUUGGUUCUGACAUCGAUGAAGAACGCAGC